GGGUAGUCCCAGCUGUAAACGAUGCAGGCUAGGUGUUGGAACGGCUACGAGCCGUUUCAGUGCCGCAGGGAAGCUGUUAAGCCUGCCGCCUGGGGAGUACGGCCGCAAGGCUGAAACUUAAAGGAAUUGGCGGGGGAGCACCACAAGGGGUGAAGCUUGCGGUUUAAUUGGAGUCAACGCCGGAAAUCUCACCGGGGGCGACAGCAGAAUGAAGGCCAGAUUGAAGGUCUUGCCAGACAAGCUGAGAGGAGGUGCAUGGCCGUCGCCAGUUCGUGCCGUGAGGUGUCCUGUUAAGUCAGGCAACGAUCGAGACCCGCGUCCCCUGUUGCUACUGGCCAAUGUGCCAGGCACACUGGGGAGACUGCCGCCGAAAAGGCGGAGGAAGGAGCGGGCCACGGCAGGUCAGUAUGCCCCGAAUCCCCCGGGCACACGCGAGCUGCAAUGGCAGGGGUACAGAGGGGUUCCAACCUCGAAAGGGGGGAGGUAAUCCCUAAAGCCUAGCCGUAGUUGGGAUCGAGGGCUGCAAC
RNAcentral lists this ribosomal RNA (527 nucleotides) under uncultured prokaryote. Its description in RNAcentral is "bacterial SSU rRNA". It matches the Rfam family "Archaeal small subunit ribosomal RNA", at positions 739 to 1267 of the family's 1478-position model. The record is from RNAcentral.